AGUGAACGCUGGCGGUAGGCCUAACACAUGCAAGUCGAACGGCAGCACAGUAAGAGCUUGCUCUUACGGGUGGCGAGUGGCGGACGGGUGAGGAAUACAUCGGUAUCUACUUUUUCGUGGGGGAUAACGUAGGGAAACUUACGCUAAUACCGCAUACGACCUACGGGUGAAAGCAGGGGAUCUUCAGACCUUGCGCGAUUGAAUGAGCCGAUGUCGGAUUAGCUAGUUGGCGGGGUAAAGGCCCACCAAGGCGACGAUCCGUAGCUGGUCUGAGAGGAUGAUCAGCCACACUGGAACUGAGACACGGUCCAGACUCCUACGGGAGGCAGCAGUGGGGAAUAUUGGACAAUGGGCGCAAGCCUGAUCCAGCCAUACCGCGUGGGUGAAGAAGGCCUUCGGGUUGUAAAGCCCUUUUGUUGGGAAAGAAAAGCAGCAGGUUAAUACCCCGCUGUUCUGACGGUACCCAAAGAAUAAGCACCGGCUAACUUCGUG
This 492-nucleotide ribosomal RNA is filed under the name uncultured bacterium. Its description in RNAcentral is "partial 16S ribosomal RNA". It matches the Rfam family "Bacterial small subunit ribosomal RNA", at positions 29 to 507 of the family's 1533-position model. The record is from RNAcentral.